AUGUCGACUUGGAGGUUGUGCCCUUGAGGCGUGGCUUCCGGAGCUAACGCGUUAAGUCGACCGCCUGGGGAGUACGGCCGCAAGGUUAAAACUCAAAUGAAUUGACGGGGGCCCGCACAAGCGGUGGAGCAUGUGGUUUAAUUCGAUGCAACGCGAAGAACCUUACCUACUCUUGACAUCCAGAGAACUUAGCAGAGAUGCUUUGGUGCCUUCGGGAACUCUGAGACAGGUGCUGCAUGGCUGUCGUCAGCUCGUGUUGUGAAAUGUUGGGUUAAGUCCCGCAACGAGCGCAACCCUUAUCCUUUGUUGCCAGCGAUUCGGUCGGGAACUCAAAGGAGACUGCCAGUGAUAAACUGGAGGAAGGUGGGGAUGACGUCAAGUCAUCAUGGCCCUUACGAGUAGGGCUACACACGUGCUACAAUGGCAUAUACAAAGAGAAGCGACCUCGCGAGAGCAAGCGGACCUCAUAAAGUAUGUCGUAGUCCGGAUUGGAGUCUGCAACUCGACUCCAUGAAGUCGGAAUCGCUAGUAAUCGUGGAUCAGAAUGCCACGGUGAAUACGUUCCCGGGCCUUGUACACACCGCCCGUCACACCAUGGGAGUGGGUUGCAAAAGAAGUAGGUAGCUUAACCUUCGGGAGGGCGCUUACCACUUUGUGAUUCAUGACUGGGGUGAAGUCGUAACAAGGUAACCGUAGGGGAACCUGC
Molecule: ribosomal RNA, 706 nt
Filed under: uncultured bacterium
Lineage: Bacteria
Description: bacterial SSU rRNA
Rfam family: Bacterial small subunit ribosomal RNA
Source: RNAcentral